Long non-coding RNA from Gadus macrocephalus (Pacific cod), 492 nucleotides. RefSeq lists it as uncharacterized. The record is from RefSeq and is a predicted model, not a curated record. Lineage: Eukaryota; Metazoa; Chordata; Actinopteri; Gadiformes; Gadidae. The transcript has 2 exons.
CAUUUUGUUUGAGUAUUUCCAACAUGGUAAAGAUGGUUUGUUGUUCCCAGUAUUUGUUUUGUCUGUCUGGGUAAGUUUCCUCCGUUCUGGCUCGGUCGGUCCUUGUGAUUUUGGUACUGGUUUUCUGUCCAAACCAUAUAAUCGCACAUUUUCUAAUCUUCCAUACGGUACACUAAUCCCUUAACAGAUUUCAUGAUACUUACUUUAUUCUAAUAAAUAACUUUAUCCCUUAUCAUGUGUGGAUCCCGAUCUUUGCUCUGACCCGAGCCUCACAGUAAAGAUUCAAUAUGAAUGGCAAAAUAAGGAUGGGAUUUUAUUUGAACGAUAAAAUAUGUGUUGGGCAAAUUAUAGAGAGGCUGAGAUUAUAGAUUUCAUAUUCAAAAGGCGAAGGGGUGAAAAAAUGUAAGAAAUAUAUUUAAGAAAUAUAGGCCUACUCAAAGCCCAAAUCAUUGAUAUCAUACCCUAUCCAAUAAUAAAGAAAUUUGAAUUUGA